RNAcentral lists this long non-coding RNA (990 nucleotides) under Gossypium barbadense (sea-island cotton). RNAcentral's name for it is "long non-coding RNA (GBAR_LNC000108)". The record is from RNAcentral. Lineage: Eukaryota; Viridiplantae; Streptophyta; Magnoliopsida; Malvales; Malvaceae.
GCAAAACGACGUCGUUUUUCAGGGGCUAUAUAAGCCAAAUCUUAGCCCAAAAAUCAUUUUAACAUUCGGUUUUAAAAAAAAUAUAAACGAAAUCCUCUGAAAGAGGAUUCGAGGGCUGAUUCCGGUGCUGUUGAACCUCCGUUCAGGAGUUUUCUCACGCGCUCACUCGCCACCACGCACGGUGGUCGGAGGGUCAAAACCUUCCCGCUUUUCAGCGAAAGUCAGGUAAUCUCUUUUCCUUUUCACUAUUUGUAAUAUAUGUUAAAAUAUUCAGCUUUGUAUUAGAUUGGCUACUGGUAUUGUGAGUCGAUCUUACUGUACUCUGUUGAAUUUGUUUGUAUAUUUCUCUCUUCGUAAAUCGUGUGUAUAUUAUUGUCUUUGUAAAAAUCGGGAUCCCUUUUACAAUGAAGGUAUUCGGGCUUUAUAGCCACUGUUUACAGUGUAUUUACAUCUUUAUUUUAUUUCCUUGCCAUAUUUGUUGGUUCUGCUCCCUCUUAUUUCCUUUUACAGGCGAUCGAAGAGAAGAAAGGGCACUGAUCUCGGCGUCGAUUUGCGUCUCAACAAGAUACGGGGCCUGGAAUCACGGCACCGAUGAAGGGUAGCUGAAAUGACGCAAGGUGAAACGGCGUGAUUGAAGAAAUGUUGAUAGGGGCAUGAUCGAUGGUGGCCUUGAUUUGGAAGCUGGAUAGAUGCUCCCUGAAUCUUCUAGAAGCAGUGACGGCUCAAGGAGGAAAAGGCAGAAACCGUAGAGUUUCCUGCCUUAAUGUAAUAGGUUGGGCCAAUUGGGCCACUUUAGUUCUGGGCUAGGCAGGGUGUAAUGGGUACCGGGUAAUUUAGCUGGGUUUUGGGUUUGGAUUUAGGCUAGUUGGGUUUUAACUUUUGGGCUGUAAAAGGAUUGUUUAAUAAAUAAACAUUUAUUUUUUUUUGUUUUCAAUUUUAAAGCCUGAGCAAUUUUUGGUUUUUACAGAGCAUUUAAUAAUUUGUACCUAU